This is a long non-coding RNA of Apis florea (little honeybee), 281 nucleotides long. The record is from RefSeq and is a predicted model, not a curated record. NCBI's taxonomy places the organism in Eukaryota, Metazoa, Arthropoda, Insecta, Hymenoptera, Apidae.
UAAUGGUAAUUUGUUCGAAAACAAUAGAAUACUAAAUAAUAAUAAAGUAUAGCAUAAAUGAUAAUACUGCAUAAGUAAUAAAUUCUGUCCUGUAUAAGGAUAUGUGUGACAUGGCACCAAUCACAGUUCAUAAUUUUUUAAUUUACAUUCAAAAUUAUUAAGCUAAUAAAUUUUCGUCGCUAAUAAACAAUUGUGCGAUCACUUCUAAUUUAAAAAAUCUUUCGAAACGACCCCCCAAGGGAAUUUUAAAAUCAUCUAGCUUUGAUAAACCGGACUUACCC